Molecule: ribosomal RNA, 476 nt
Filed under: uncultured Acidobacteriota bacterium
Lineage: Bacteria; Pseudomonadati; Acidobacteriota
Description: bacterial SSU rRNA
Rfam family: Bacterial small subunit ribosomal RNA
Source: RNAcentral
UGUUGAGAGGGACGAAGGCUUGCGGGCAAACAGUCCGUACGCUUGACGGUACCUCGAGAGGAACGCCCCGGCUAACUCUGUGCCAGCAGCCGCGGUAAUACAGAGGGGGCGAGCGUUAUUCGGAAUUAUUGGGCGUAAAGGGCGCGUAGGCGGCCGAGCAAGUCUUGGGUGAAAUCCCUCGGCUCAACCGAGGAACUGCCUUGGAAACUGCUUGGCUCGAGGCCGGGAGAGGGUGGUGGAAUUCCCAGUGUAGCGGUGAAAUGCGUAGAUAUUGGGAGGAACACCAGUGGCGAAGGCGGCCACCUGGACCGGUCCUGACGCUGAGGCGCGAAAGCGUGGGGAGCAAACAGGAUUAGAUACCCUGGUAGUCCACGCCCUAAACGAUGGGUACUCGGUGUCGCGGGCAUCCAACCCCCGCGGUGCCUUAGCUAACGCGUUAACGUACCCCGCCGUGGGGAGUACGGUCGCAAGGCUAG